RNAcentral lists this ribosomal RNA (206 nucleotides) under uncultured bacterium. RNAcentral describes it as "partial 16S ribosomal RNA". It matches the Rfam family "Bacterial small subunit ribosomal RNA", at positions 568 to 774 of the family's 1533-position model. The record is from RNAcentral.
CGCGUAGGCGGAUUUACAAGUUAGGGUGAAAGGCCCGGGCUCAACCUGGGAACUGCCUUUAAAACUGUAAGUCUUGAGUCCGAGAGAGGAUGGCGGAAUACCCAGUGUAGAGGUGAAAUUCGUAGAUAUUGGGUAGAACACCGGUGGCGAAGGCGGCCAUCUGGCUCGGCACUGACGCUGAGGCGCGAAAGCGUGGGGAGCAAACA